GUAGGUGGCAAGCGUUGUCCGGAAUUAUUGGGCGUAAAGCGCGCGCAGGCGGUUCUUUAAGUCUGAUGUGAAAGCCCACGGCUCAACCGUGGAGGGUCAUUGGAAACUGGAGAACUUGAGUACAGAAGAGGAAAGCGGAAUUCCACGUGUAGCGGUGAAAUGCGUAGAGAUGUGGAGGAACACAAGUGGCGAAGGCGGCUUUCUGGUCUGUAACUGACGCUGAGGCGCGAAAGCGUGGGGAGCAAACAGGAUUAGAUACCCUGGUAGUCCACGCCGUAAACGAUGAGUGCUAAGUGUUAGGGGGUUUCCGCCCCCCUUAGUGCUGCAGCUAACGCAUUAAGCACUCCGCCUGGGAGUACGGCCGCAAGGCUG
This 372-nucleotide ribosomal RNA is filed under the name uncultured organism. Its description in RNAcentral is "partial 16S ribosomal RNA". It matches the Rfam family "Bacterial small subunit ribosomal RNA", at positions 527 to 896 of the family's 1533-position model. The record is from RNAcentral.